CAGAUAGUAAUUUAAAUAAAAAUAUUGGCUUUGGAGGCUAAAAAUCAUAAAUGUGUUAUCUGA
RNAcentral lists this transfer RNA (63 nucleotides) under Placobdella parasitica. RNAcentral describes it as "transfer RNA Proline". Lineage: Eukaryota; Metazoa; Annelida; Clitellata; Rhynchobdellida; Glossiphoniidae. The record is from RNAcentral.